This 504-nucleotide ribosomal RNA is filed under the name uncultured bacterium. RNAcentral's name for it is "partial 16S ribosomal RNA". It matches the Rfam family "Bacterial small subunit ribosomal RNA", at positions 29 to 523 of the family's 1533-position model. The record is from RNAcentral.
AUUGAACGCUGGCGGCAGGCCUAACACAUGCAAGUCGAACGGUAGCACAGAGAGCUUGCUCUCGGGUGACGAGUGGCGGACGGGUGAGUAAUGUCUGGGAAACUGCCCGAUGGAGGGGGAUAACUACUGGAAACGGUAGCUAAUACCGCAUAACGUCGCAAGACCAAAGUGGGGGACCUUCGGGCCUCACACCAUCGGAUGUGCCCAGAUGGGAUUAGCUAGUAGGUGGGGCAAUGGCUCACCUAGGCGACGAUCCCUAGCUGGUCUGAGAGGAUGACCAGCCACACUGGAACUGAGACACGGUCCAGACUCCUACGGGAGGCAGCAGUGGGGAAUAUUGCACAAUGGGCGCAAGCCUGAUGCAGCCAUGCCGCGUGUAUGAAGAAGGCCUUCGGGUUGUAAAGUACUUUCAGCGGGGAGGAAGGCGGUGAAGUUAAUAGCUUCACCGAUUGACGUUACCCGCAGAAGAAGCACCGGCUAACUCCGUGCCAGCAGCCGCCGCAG